This 196-nucleotide ribosomal RNA is filed under the name uncultured bacterium. RNAcentral describes it as "partial 16S ribosomal RNA". It matches the Rfam family "Bacterial small subunit ribosomal RNA", at positions 1307 to 1500 of the family's 1533-position model. The record is from RNAcentral.
GCAACUCGCCUGCAUGAAGUCGGAAUUGCUAGUAAUCGCAGAUCAGCAUGCUGCGGUGAAUACGUUCCCGGGCCUUGUACACACCGCCCGUCACACCAUGGGAGUCGGUAACACCCGAAGUCAGGAGCCUGACCUUUUUAGGAGGGCACUGCCGAAGGUGGGAUUGAUGACUGGGGUGAAGUCGUAACAAGGUAUC